AAGCAUAAGAAAUUAUAUUUUGACAUUGCAGUUUUUGGGAAAAACAGGCUAUUUUAUGUGACUCAACAGAUUAGUCAUCAGAUAUCAGAUGGAACAAAUUUGAACUGUACACCAUGUUUGGAUAAACUGAGAGUAUUUUAUUUUGCCUAAGUAUGUUUAGUCAGAAGGAUGAAGAGGUAAGAUUUUUUGUGCCUUUUCAUUCUCUAUGUACUAAAUAAAUUUCCCCAUCCUUCCAAGUGCGUUCAUCUUUAGCCACUGUUUUCACUAAAGGUAUCUGUCUACGCUAUAACUUUAAAUUUUAAGUGCACUUUGAGUGCAAGAUAACAAUGAUCCUCCAAAUUGUUAAAAACACUAAUAAAGAAAAUCGUUCAGAAGGAAGACUGUACCUCACAAAGAGCAACGGCCUUCAACAGUCCUCCGUUAAUCAGCAUCUGCCGCCAAGUCUUGUCUUCCUGUGGCGGGGGAAGGGAUGGAUGGAGGACAGAAACUGCAUCCUGGCAUCAAGAAAAAGAACUUUCUUCCAGGCUAAGUGCAAAACAGAGAAGAGAAAUGCUUCCCACAAGCUGGGAAAUUUCCAACUCACCAAAGCAGAUGCUGGACAUGGAUUGCUCACCAAUGGAAUAUUAUUUAUUACUUAUUAAGAAAUAAAGUUGGAGCUAAAUUACUUGAAGCAUUAAGACUGAAUAUAAAAGUAAUAGACCAACAAUAGAGAAUUGUAUUGGAACAUAUUUCAACAUAAAAAGAUACUGAGGGUCUUCCAUCACUUUGAGAUUUGAAAACAACUGAAGGUUUAAGUUUUCCAAUGACUUAAGCGAAAAAAGGAUGAACCUAAUCAAUUGUGGAAAGAGAUGUUAAACAUGAAGCAGAUUUCCAGCUUUCUAAGGCCUAUAAAAGUCAUUUUAGGUGGAACGCAAACAGACUCCACCCUUUCAAUUAUGAAGCUUUGCAAGAAGAAUUCAGUUGUGUGGUCACCAAAAUAACACCAACACUUCUGGCUUUUAGUUAGUAGUUAGGCAAGAUGAUUUAGAAUGUUAACCAUCUCUUUUAUUACUUGGCAGCUUUGGGGUAUCCGAUUUAAGUCAUGAAUAAUCCCUUUGAAAACAAAACAUCUCCUUCAGAGGGAUAAUUAGACUAUUACUAAGGACAAACUAUCCAACAUCAAAAGGACGGACCCUAAGAAGUCACGCAACAGGCAGUCUUCUCCUCAAAUUAAAAGCAUGCUUAGCAUUAGAGGUCACUGCAAUAAAUAAAGGGAUGUGAAAUAAUUACUUACAAGUUUCAGCCAAAGAACUACAGCACAAACUAUAAUAAAAAGUGACUAGGUUCUGAAAAGUGAAUAUGCUAAUUAUUCUCAGUGUUUGAAUUGGUGCUUGGGAGCAUGUCCCCCAUUCUCUGAUUAAGAGUCAUUAAUCAUUUCUGUGAGGUCACUGUUAUUCCAAGAGAUCCUCAACAAUGGAAUCAAGGAUAUUGCUGCUAACAGUAUUCAAAAUGGGGGGGAAAUUCAAUGGAAGACCCAGAUGGUAAUAAUUACAUUAAGACUACCUCCCAAAUUACAAGACUAUUUUCUCUCAAGGUCAAGAUGUGCAAUUUUCUUUGUGAACAAAAUGCAUAACCAAAUGACCUAUUAUUAAUCAUAACUCCAAGCCCGCAUCACAUUACUCAUCAAUUGAAUGACAAUAAAAUAAUCUGCUCUGCUCAUGGUAUUUUUUUUCAGGUGGCUGCUAAGUUACCCAUAGUACUCCAUUCUAUCAAGAGUUACUAAUGAAUGAUCAGAGUGCAGUAAUUUUCAAUUGAGUAUUUCCAAGCUCCCCCUACUCAAGAACACUUUUUAUACCAUCAAUACUAAGUUAUUUGUGACAGUGGAAGAUGGUCAUUAUGCAAAGAUUUUAGCUUUCCUAAUGAUUUUACUUAAACCACUUUUUACAUCCAUCCAUGUUGGGGAUCUGAUAAUGCAUGGAUUUCUUUUCUCUUUUCCUUUUUCCUUAUGAAGGAGAUGCUAAAUUGCAGUGAAAUCACCAAAUGGAAGACAUUUGAAGAGAGGAGUAAAUAUAUAAGUCUCCGGUCAAGGAGAUGCUGAUUGGAACACUUCCUAAAAAGCUAUUCACCUGGAAGUUGCUCUUAUAAAUUAUUUAUUAUCCAUAAAGUUGUUAUAAUAUCUGAAACUAUUUGAGUCAACUAUUUGAAAAGUAACGAAAUAUACUCCUCACGCAGUGGGUUGAAUUUACUCUAUCAAACUUUGGUAUAGUAAGGCUCAGAAGUUUUGUGAUCAAGAUUUAUUAGGCAGCUUAACCCAACACCACUUGCACCCUCUUUGCCUCAGGUCAUUUAUCUAUAAAAUAGAAAUGUCAAUAGUGUCUUUUCUAACAGGUCUUUGUUUGAGCAUUAGAAGAGCUUAUGGAAGUCAAAUCUUCAGAAUGAAACCUGGAAUAUACACUUCCUUUUAAAGCCCCAAGGUGCCGUGUAAGAAGUCCAACUACUCUGAGAUUGCCCUGCUGUGAGGAAGCCCAAGCUAUCGGUGUAGAGGGAGAAAGCAAUGCUGGCCAACCUCCAGCCGUUCCAGCCACCCCAGUGCAGGGGCCAGACAUGGAAAUGAAGUUCUCUUGGAUCCUCCAGACCAGACCAGCUACGGCCAGCCUUAGUUGAUGCCAUGUGGAACAAAAGAACCUCCCAGCUGAACCCUGCCUGAAUUUGUAGCUCACAAAACUCACAUGAUAUAAUAAAAUAGUUCUUAUUUUAAACCACUAACUUUUGGGCUAACAACAAAAGGUAAUUGGAUGGGCAGAGGAUACGAAUGCACAUUUUCCAAAGAAGAUAUAUAGAUGGCCAACUGGCACAUGAAAAGGUGCUCAGCAUCAGUAAUUAUUAGGGAAAUGCAAAUCAAAACUACAAUGAGAUAUCACCUCACACUCAUCAGAACGGCUAUAAUUAACAAGACAGGAAAUAAGUGUUAAAGAGGAUAUGGAGAAAAGGGAACAUUCAUACACUACUGGUAGGAAUGUCAACUGGUACAGCCACUAUGGAAAACAGUAUGGCGAUUCCUCAGACAAUUAAAAAUAGAAAUACCAUACGAUCCAGCUAUCCCACUGCUGGGUGUUUAUCCAAAGAAGAUGAAAUCAACAAUUCAAAGAGAUUUAUGCAUCCCUAUGUUAAUCGCAGCAUUAUUCACAAUAGCCAAGACAUGGAAGCAACCCAAGGGCCCAUUAACAGAUAAGUGGAAAAAGAAGAUGUCAUAUACACAUACAAUGGAAUAUUACUCAGCCAUAAAAAGUCAAAAUCAUGCCAUUUUUCAACAAUAUGAAUGGACCUUAAGUAUAUUGUGCUAAGCAAAAUAAGCCAGACAAAGACAAAUACUGUAUGAUUUCACUCAUAUGUGGAAGAGAAACACAUGGAUAAGGAGAAUAGACUAGUGGUUACCAGAGGGGAACCCUCCCCCAACUGUCUUCCCCUCUGGUACAUAUGUAUGGUAACAGAUAAAAACUAGACUAUGAGGGUGAACAAGAUGCAGUUUAUACAGAAACUGAGAUAUAGUGAUGUACACCUGAAAUUUACACAACGCUCUAAGCCAAUAUGACCUCAAUAAAAAAAAUCAAAUUAAAAAAAAAAGAUAAUUGGAACAACGUCUGAAUCACACGCUACACUUUACAACAUGGCUGCUUUCCAGAGAAUUCAUCCAUAAAUCAAAUGCCUAUUCACUUGUACAAUAAACACUUAUUCAGCACUACUAAUAUGCCAGGAAGUUUGCUAGAAUGCAAAGUUGAGCAUGGCAUAAUUCUUAUCCUCAAGUGGCUUUCUCUCUAGUGGGACAAACAGAGAACUAAGUUAGUAGUUACAGUUUAAUGAUAUAAGCAGACCACCAUGUUGCUCAAGGGGAGGUGUACAUUCGCUUUGCAUCCUAUGCAAAUGGUGCCCACUGGAGUUGAACACACACACAGCUAUUCAAAAGGCCACAGUGUGAAUACUCCCCUAAAACUGGGUAGGAUAGAGGCCCUGGUGAUAAAUAUUAGGCUAUAAGUAUGCACAGAGUGCUAGAAAAGCACAGAAGAGAGAAGGAAAACAAUGAACUUUACCUGGAGCGUUUUUAUUUUCACUAUUAAGAUAUAGGGAAUUAACGAGCCCAGUGAAAUGUUAUUGAUAUUGACAAUGUGGUUUAGGAAUGGUAACAUUUAUCUUAAUGUGUAUAAUACAGCUGGGUUCAAACAAUUAAUUUAAACCACUAAAUAUGCAUUUUCAUAUUCACUUUAAC
RNAcentral lists this long non-coding RNA (4243 nucleotides) under Equus caballus (horse). RNAcentral's name for it is "lncRNA (ENSECAG00000047759.1)". The record is from RNAcentral. Lineage: Eukaryota; Metazoa; Chordata; Mammalia; Perissodactyla; Equidae.